GACGAACGCUGGCGGCGCGCCUAACACAUGCAAGUCGAACGAGCGAGAGAGAGCUUGCUUUCUCGAGCGAGUGGCGAACGGGUGAGUAACGCGUGAGGAACCUGCCUCAAAGAGGGGGACAACAGUUGGAAACGACUGCUAAUACCGCAUAAGCCCACGGCUCGGCAUCGAGCAGAGGGAAAAGGAGCAAUCCGCUUUGAGAUGGCCUCGCGUCCGAUUAGCUAGUUGGUGAGGUAACGGCCCACCAAGGCGACGAUCGGUAGCCGGACUGAGAGGUUGAACGGCCACAUUGGGACUGAGACACGGCCCAGACUCCUACGGGAGGCAGCAGUGGGGAAUAUUGCACAAUGGGGGAAACCCUGAUGCAGCGACGCCGCGUGGAGGAAGAAGGUCUUCGGAUUGUAAACUCCUGUUGUUGGGGAAGAUAAUGACGGUACCCAACAAGGAAGUGACGGCUAACUACGUGCCAGCAGCCGCGGUAAAACGUAGGUCACAAGCGUUGUCCGGAAUUACUGGGUGUAAAGGGAGCGCAGGCGGGAAGACAGUUGGAAGUGAAAUCUAUGGGCUCAACCCAUAAACUGCUUUCAAACUGUUUUUCUUGAGUAGUGCAGAGGUAGGCGGAAUUCCCGGUGUAGCGGUGGAAUGCGUAGAUAUCGGGAGGAACACCAGUGGCGAAGGCGGCCUACUGGGCACCAACUGACGCUGAGGCUCGAAAGUGUGGGUAGCAAACAGGAUUAGAUACCCUGGUAGUCCACACCGUAAACGAUGAUUACUAGGUGUUGGGGGAUUGACCCCCUCAGUGCCGCAGUUAACACAAUAAGUAAUCCACCUGGGGAGUACGACCGCAAGGUUGAAACUCAAAGGAAUUGACGGGGGCCCGCACAAGCAGUGGAGUAUGUGGUUUAAUUCGACGCAACGCGAAGAACCUUACCAAGUCUUGACAUCCCUUGACGAUGCUGGAAACAGUAUUUCUCUUCGGAGCAAGGAGACAGGUGGUGCAUGGUUGUCGUCAGCUCGUGUCGCGAGAUGUUGGGUUAAGUCCCGCAACGAGCGCAACCCUUAUGGUCAGUUACUACGCAAGAGGACUCUGGCCAGACUGCCGUUGACAAAACGGAGGAAGGUGGGGAUGACGUCAAAUCAUCAUGCCCUUUAUGACUUGGGCUACACACGUACUACAAUGGCGUUAAACAAAGAGAAGCAAGACCGCGAGGUGGAGCAAAACUCAGAAACAACGUCCCAGUUCGGACUGCAGGCUGCAACUCGCCUGCACGAAGUCGGAAUUGCUAGUAAUCGUGGAUCAGCAUGCCACGGUGAAUACGUUCCCGGGCCUU
RNAcentral lists this ribosomal RNA (1331 nucleotides) under uncultured bacterium. RNAcentral describes it as "bacterial SSU rRNA". It matches the Rfam family "Bacterial small subunit ribosomal RNA", at positions 28 to 1382 of the family's 1533-position model. The record is from RNAcentral.